UACAGAGGUCUCAAGCGUUGUUCGGAUUCAUUGGGCGUAAAGGGUGCGUAGGCGGCGCGGUAAGUCGGGUGUGAAAUCUCGGAGCUUAACUCCGAAACUGCAUUCGAUACUGCCGUGCUUGAGGACUGGAGAGGAGACUGGAAUUUACGGUGUAGCGGUGAAAUGCGUAGAUAUCGUAAGGAAGACCAGUGGCGAAGGCGGGUAACUGGCCGGACACUGACACUCAGAUCCGAAAGCGUGGGGAUCAAACAGG
RNAcentral lists this ribosomal RNA (253 nucleotides) under uncultured bacterium. RNAcentral's name for it is "partial 16S ribosomal RNA". It matches the Rfam family "Bacterial small subunit ribosomal RNA", at positions 524 to 776 of the family's 1533-position model. The record is from RNAcentral.